UUGGGUUGUAAAGCUCUUUCGUCGGGGAAGAAAAUGACUGUACCCGAAUAAGAAGGUCCGGCUAACUUCGUGCCAGCAGCCGCGGUAAUACGAAGGGACCUAGCGUAGUUCGGAAUUACUGGGCUUAAAGAGUUCGUAGGUUGUUAAAAAAGUUGGUGGUGAAAUCCCAGAGCUUAACUCUGGAACUGCCAUCAAAACUUUUUAGCUAGAGUAUGAUAGAGGAAAGCAGAAUUUCUAGUGUAGAGGUGAAAUUCGUAGAUAUUAGAAAGAAUACCAAUUGCGAAGGCAGCUUUCUGGAUCAUUACUGACACUGAGGAACGAAAGCAUGGGUAGCGAAGAGGAUUAGAUACCCUCGUAGUCCAUGCCGUAAACGAUGUGUGUUAGACGUUGGAAAUUUAUUUUCAGUGUCGCAGCGAAAGCAUUAAACACACCGCCUGGGGAGUACGACCGCAAGGUUAAAACUCAAAUGAAUUGACGGGGACCCGCACAAGUAGUGGAGCAUGUGGUUUAAUUCGAAGAUACGCGCAGAACCUUACCAACACUUGACAUGUUCGUCGCGACUUUAAGAGAUUAAAGUUUUCGGUUCGGCCGGACGAAACACAGGUGCUGCAUGGCUGUCGUCAGCUCGUGUCGUGAGAUGUUGGGUUAAGUCCCGCAACGAGCGCAACCCUCACUUUUAGUUGCCAUCAUUUAGUUGGGCACUCUGAAAGAACUGCCAGUGAUAAGCUGGAGGAAGGUGGGGAUGACGUCAAGUCCUCAUGGCCCUUACGUGUUGGGCUACACACGUGCUACAAUGGCAUUUACAAUAGGAAGCAAGAUGGCGACGUCAAGCAAAUCCUAAAAAGAUGCCUCAGUUCGGAUUGUACUCUGCAACUCGAGUACAUGAAGCUGGAAUUACUAGUAAUCGCGGAUCAGCGCGCCGCGGUGAAUACGUUUCCCGGGUCUUGUACACACCGCCCGUCACACCA
RNAcentral lists this ribosomal RNA (968 nucleotides) under marine metagenome. Its description in RNAcentral is "bacterial SSU rRNA". It matches the Rfam family "Bacterial small subunit ribosomal RNA", at positions 418 to 1404 of the family's 1533-position model. The record is from RNAcentral.